RNAcentral lists this non-coding RNA (107 nucleotides) under chicken gut metagenome. RNAcentral's name for it is "FMN riboswitch (RFN element)". It matches the Rfam family "FMN riboswitch aptamer (RFN element)". From Rfam's summary of the family: The RFN element is a highly conserved domain that is found frequently in the 5'-untranslated regions of prokaryotic mRNAs that encode for flavin mononucleotide (FMN) biosynthesis and transport proteins. The record is from RNAcentral.
GUUUCGGGGCGGAGUGAAAUUCUCCACCGGCGGUAAAGCCCGCGAGCGCCUUUGGCGUUGACCCGGUGAAAUUCCGGGGCCGACGGUUACAGUCCGGAUGAAAGAAA